RNAcentral lists this ribosomal RNA (273 nucleotides) under uncultured Methanosarcina sp. Its description in RNAcentral is "partial 16S ribosomal RNA". It matches the Rfam family "Archaeal small subunit ribosomal RNA", at positions 319 to 592 of the family's 1478-position model. The record is from RNAcentral. Lineage: Archaea; Methanobacteriati; Methanobacteriota; Methanomicrobia; Methanosarcinales; Methanosarcinaceae.
GGCCCUACGGGGCGCAGCAGGCUCGAAAACUUUACAAUGCGGGAAACCGUGAUAAGGGGACACCGAGUGCCAGCAUCAUAUGUUGGCUGUCCAGAUGUGUAAAAUACAUCUGUUAGCAAGGGCCGGGCAAGACCGGUGCCAGCCGCCGCGGUAACACCGGCGGCCCGAGUGGUGAUCGUGAUUAUUGGGUCUAAAGGGUCCGUAGCCGGUUUGGUCAGUCCUCCGGGAAAUCUGACGGCUCAACCGUUAGGCUUUCGGUGGAUACUGCCAGAC